Molecule: ribosomal RNA, 253 nt
Filed under: uncultured bacterium
Lineage: Bacteria
Description: partial 16S ribosomal RNA
Rfam family: Bacterial small subunit ribosomal RNA
Source: RNAcentral
UACAGAGGUCUCAAGCGUUGUUCGGAUUCAUUGGGCGUAAAGGGUGCGUAGGCGGCGCGGUAAGUCGGGUGUGAAAUCUCGGAGCUUAACUCCGAAACUGCAUUCGAUACUGCCGUGCUUGAGGACUGGAGAGGAGACUGGAAUUUACGGUGUAGCGGUGAAAUGUGUAGAUAUCGUAAGGAAGACCAGUGGUGAAGGCGGGUCUCUGGACAGUUCCUGACGCUGAGGCACGAAGGUCAGGGGAGCAAACGGG